This 274-nucleotide ribosomal RNA is filed under the name uncultured bacterium. RNAcentral describes it as "partial 16S ribosomal RNA". It matches the Rfam family "Bacterial small subunit ribosomal RNA", at positions 523 to 796 of the family's 1533-position model. The record is from RNAcentral.
AUACGGAGGGUGCAAGCGUUAUUCGGAAUCACUGGGCGUAAAGGACGCGUAGGCGGGUUGGCAAGUCAGAUGUGAAAUCCUACAGCUUAACUGUAGAACUGCAUUUGAAACUGCUAACCUAGAGUAUGGGAAGGGGAGAUGGAAUUAGUGGUGUAGGGGUAAAAUCCGUAGAUAUCACUAGGAAUACCGAAAGCGAAGGCGAUCUCCUGGAACAUAACUGACGCUAAGGCGUGAAAGCGUGGGGAGCAAACAGGAGUAGAUACCCUAGUAGUCC